Molecule: ribosomal RNA, 1418 nt
Filed under: metagenome
Description: bacterial LSU rRNA
Rfam family: Bacterial large subunit ribosomal RNA
Source: RNAcentral
CCGAGCCGGGAAUGGAAAUACCGGUACAAGCGGAGAAGGAGUCUGGUUGGCAAAUCCGCCAGGCAAUCCGAAGACGUGAUGUGGAGCGAAUUAGAGUAGCGAAGCGUGUGAGCCAUGUGCCGAGAAAAGCCGCUAUUGUUUCAUGUGUGCCCGUACCGUAAACCGACACAGGUGGAUGAGGAGAGAAUCCUAAGGCCGGCGGAAGAAGCAUUGUUAAGGAACUCGGCAAAAAUGACCCCGUAACUUCGGGAGAAGGGGUGCCUGCUAACGCAGGCCGCAGAGAAUAGGCUCAAGCAACUGUUUAGCAAAAACACAGGUCUAUGCGAAACCGAAAGGUGAAGUAUAUGGGCUGACGCCUGCCCGGUGCUGGAAGGUUAAGAGGAGAGGUUAGCGCAAGCGAAGCUUUGAAUUUAAGCCCCAGUAAACGGCGGCCGUAACUAUAACGGUCCUAAGGUAGCGAAAUUCCUUGUCGGGUAAGUUCCGACCCGCACGAAAGGCGUAAUGAUUUGAGCACUGUCUCGACAAUGCAUCCGGUGAAAUUGAAGUACCAGUGAAGAUGCUGGUUACCCGCGCUAGGACGGAAAGACCCCAUGGAGCUUUACUCCAGUUUGGUACUGGGAUUCGGUACUGCAUGUACAGGAUAGGUGGGAGACUAAGAACUUGGGACGCCAGUUUCAAGGGAGUCGCUGUUGGGAUACCACCCUUGCAGUAUUGGAUUUCUAACCAGCCGCCGUGAUCCGGCGGUGGGACAAUGCCAGGCGGGGAGUUUGACUGGGGCGGUCGCCUCCGAAAGGGUAUCGGAGGCGCUCAAAGGUUCCCUCAGAAUGGUUGGAAACCAUUUGAAGAGUGCAAAGGCAGAAGGGAGCUUGACUGCGACACCGACGGGUGGAGCAGGUAGGAAACUAGGACUUAGUGAUCCGGUGGCAUAAAGUGGGAUUGCCAUCGCUCAACGGAUAAAAGCUACCCUGGGAUAACAGGCUUAUCACUCCCAAGAGUUCACAUCGACGGAGUGGUUUGGCACCUCGAUGUCGGCUCAUCGCAUCCUGGGGCUGUAGCAGGUCCCAAGGGUUGGGCUGUUCGCCCAUUAAAGCGGUACGCGAGCUGGGUUCAGAACGUCGUGAGACAGUUCGGUCCCUAUCCGGCGCGGGCGGAGGAUAUUUGAGAGGAGCUGUCCUUAGUACGAGAGGACUGGGAUGGACGGACCACUGGUGUAUCUGCUGUCGACCAACGGCAUGGCAGAGUAGCCAAGUCCGGAAGGGAUAAACGCUGAAGGCAUUUAAGCGUGAAGCCCCCCUCAAGGUGAGAUAUCCCUCACAUAAGUGAGUAAGAUCCCUUGAAGACUACAAGGUAGAUAGGGCAGAGGUGGAAGCACGGUAACGUGUGGAGCUGACUGUUACUAAUCGAUCGAGGGCUUGAUC